AGAUAAUUUAAAUUAAAACACAGAAAAGCUGGGUUUAAGAAGUACAAUAUUAAAACAAAAGCCAUGAGUCUUUUAAGCCCAGUGUAUAAAGAUACACUCUGAUUUAUAACUCAGAGGCACAAUA
Otolemur garnettii (small-eared galago) is the source of this 124-nucleotide non-coding RNA. Lineage: Eukaryota; Metazoa; Chordata; Mammalia; Primates; Galagidae. The record is from Rfam.